CAGCACCUCUACAGCACUUCCUGGCACUGACUUUGCUGGUAAUAUUUGUGGCAGAUCCUGGAUAUCUAACUAACAGAUUACGGAUUCAAAUGUAGCAGGUCGUGCUGUUCCCAUUUUUAAAACUCAACAUGAGUAACCUCGAUGGCGAGCUCACUCAGAGGGAGCAGCAGUUACUGAAAAUCCGGCGCGACAGCGACACCAAGGCAGCCGAGCUUGUCAAGAUGGAGAAGAUGCUGCAGCAGACCAAGAACCUUUUGGACAAGAAGACGGAGAGCGGUUCAGAGAGCCAGGACUUCCAGGAGAACAUGGAAGACCUGGAGGAAAGAGUAAGAUCCAGCAGACGGCAAAGGAGGAACUCCCUCCAUCACACACAGAUGCUGGAGAGCCAGAUGAAGACUGUGAAGGGCGAGUUGGUGGGCACGCUGGACCACCUCCAGGAGCUGAGGAACGUCUUGCGCCGCUCGCAGCAGAAAGCGGAAGAGCGCAAAGCCACCAUGGAGAAGCUGGCGGCGGGGCUCAGGUGAAGCGCGGCGAGACGAGGCUUUGGCCUUUUUGCACGCUGACGCCGGGCAGAGAUGACAUCAAACACCCGUAGGCCACUGAACGCGAGGGAAGAGACGUGAGCUGCUGCGGUGAGGCCAUUGUUUGGCAUCCAACGUUCAGACUUUGGUCGUGCUCUCUCACAAACGUCUGAGGUGGCUUCUUCAUCCUUUUAUCCUCCCUUUAUUGUCCUGUUAUUAUUAAUACAAUAUUUUGAAGGCUAAAUGUCGAAACGCUUUUGAUGUCCUCAGUUUUAAAAUACAAUCAAAUACACAUCAUUUUUUUCUUCUUCAAGUCUGAAAUAUGCAGCUUUAGAAGCAACAUAUACUCUGAGCAGCUGUCAUGAUCAUUUGUGUUUUUCUGGCUUAGCAUGUCCAUUCGUUUAUGACAGGAAAGAGAUAACAUAGAUCCCCUCCACGUUAUUGACGCACUUUUAAUGAAUUCCUCCCUGCCAAUAAUAACAUGUGUGUUGUUUUUUGUAAUCUAAAUCUGUAACCAUUUUAGAACAAAAAAAAAGUGGAUUUAGUCUCCUGGCCCAUGCAUGCACAUGUUAAAAAUAGCAACAUAAAUGCCCAUUUGUGUGGGCGUAAGUGGGGAGUAAAAUGUGUCUUUUAAAUGAACUCUUUUACAAUGUAUCGUCGGGAGUGCACAAAUAAACAAUCCUGACCAUUAAAUGGUGGAGGAAAACACUCAGUGUUUCGACUCGCUCCGGGGUCAUUGGCUUUUGUCUGUUUCCUGCGGUGAGUCAGCUGAAAAGUGUGUUUGUUCCUUCCCUGUGGCUGAGCUGUGAUCACAUACAUCUUGUUAAGCACCGCUUGAUUCACACAGCCUGACAUCAUGUGAGACUUUUCUUCACAGACCCUGACCCGUAGCUGUAAUUAUAACACCAUGUCAAGGGGAAGACUGCUCAUUACCCACAGCCGAGGGCGUAAAAAUAGACACCCUCACUUUCAAGUCUCUCACAAGGGACUCAUUCUGCCAACUCCUAAGGACACUGGGGGGUUUACAGGGGUUUUGGUGUAUGAGACGCAUCUCUGUCAGGUUUCCUUUGUGUGCUUAUUCUUCAUUGACCAACAAUAAACAAAAGAUGCAAUUAAAGGAGUGAUAUACAACCAUGCAAUGACUAUUUCUGGGUACAUGCUGAUUUUAUAUCAAUGUCAAAACCCAUUUUAUUAUGAGACAAUGUGAUGGUGUGUGUGCUUCAACAUAGAAGUUCACUAGCGAGCGACCUGUCCACCUCUGACUGUCAGAGCCUAUUAAAAGGAAAUGAUGACAAUGACAAAACCCACAAAGAAAUUAAUUGUGGGUUUUGUUGUGCACAAUGAAGGUCUAUUUACUGUGCCUAUUGUUGUUGUUUGAAGAUGUAUACAAGCCACUGUGCCUUCGAUUCAUGUGACUUCUUGUGUGGUGCCAGUCACGUGCACAGAUAGACCCCUAAUGGUGCUCAAGCACCUUCCUUUUUCCCCUGGCUGAGAAAAGUGCCCCUUCUGCUGCAGCCCAAUCUUUUCUUCAUUUGUCAAUGUUUAAGAAUAAAAAUUACUCUAGGAUCUCCUUGACAACGGAAAAGAUAAGCCUACUACAGGACCAGAUGAGAAGGAUGGACGACUAAAGAGCAGCGGUCGCCUUUCUUUCAUUGUGUUAAGUAAGUAUUCCCUCACUAAGACUGCUGAAAUAUCAGUAAUACAGUUCCAUCAUUGGAGGCCAGAUUUGAAGCAACAAUGUAAAAGUUGAGCUUGAAGGUUUUCAUCACUUGUGUUUGUGUUUCACAGUGAGUCCCAGACCCAGAGAGCAGGGUUACGUGCUCCCUGCCCCGCCACCCCGUCACCACUCGCCCCGCGCGUCCGAGGAGAGGACAGGGGACGUCCCGUCCUCACUUGCACAGGGGGCGUUGUUUGUCUCCAUCGGCAUCUUCUGUGAUCGUGGGUUUAGGAAGCUCCUCACACACAAUGUUUAAAUCCAUUUUCUUAAUUAUUUGAAAUGGGCUAUACAAAAUAACUUGCCUUGCCUCGACUUUCUUUAUCUGACUUGCUCCUUAUGGAAAUGUGUGUAAUCCCGGGUCGGCACCAAUGGGAUUUCCGUGAAAAUGAAAAGUGUAUUUGCACUGAUUUGGUUAAAAGAACGUAACCAUGACAUCCUGCCUGUGCAGUGUCCCUCGCCUUUCAGGUUCAGCGCCGGUGUUUAUGGGGUUAAUGUGUAGACGAGUCUGCAACAGCUUAAUUGAAGCCUGCCAGCAAACGUAUUGUGGUGCAUUUUCUAAAGAACAUUGGAGUGAAAACCUGUUCAUCCGCCUUAUUGUGGCAACAGCCUCCUCAAAACAAUUUUCACCUGCCAUGUUACUCUAUUAUGUGUUUGCAUGUGCACAAUGAACUGUAAUAAAAUGCAAAAUUUGGCC
This is a long non-coding RNA of Gasterosteus aculeatus aculeatus (three-spined stickleback), 2932 nucleotides long. Lineage: Eukaryota; Metazoa; Chordata; Actinopteri; Perciformes; Gasterosteidae. The record is from Ensembl.